Long non-coding RNA from Neopelma chrysocephalum (saffron-crested tyrant-manakin), 387 nucleotides. RefSeq lists it as uncharacterized. Lineage: Eukaryota; Metazoa; Chordata; Aves; Passeriformes; Pipridae. The record is from RefSeq and is a predicted model, not a curated record. The transcript is spliced from 5 exons.
CGGCACCCGGACAAGGAAUUCACCGUCCAGAUCAAAGACGAGGAGGGGCUCAAACUGACCUUCCAGAAGCACCGGUUGGGUCCCAACGGGGCCUCGCGGGCGCCGCCGCCCCCCAAGAAGAACAGCAAGAAACUCGUCGAGCUGGAGCUUCGGUGCCUGGAGGGGCUUCGGGACCCAGGGGGGGACCCCGAGAGGGACCCCCAGAACUGUGGCCCCGCCCCGCCCCCGACCCCCCCAGAGCUCGGCGCCGACCCCCGACUGCUCCAGUUCGUGGAUCCUCAGCGGGAAAAGUGGCACCGGAAAAAGUUCCUCCCCCCCAGGUUUGGACCUUUCCAAGAUGGCGGCGCUGAUGGGGGGCGGGGCCUCGUCCGAGAGGGGCGGGGCCUC